This 1404-nucleotide ribosomal RNA is filed under the name Triticum aestivum (bread wheat). RNAcentral's name for it is "partial small subunit ribosomal RNA". Lineage: Eukaryota; Viridiplantae; Streptophyta; Magnoliopsida; Poales; Poaceae. The record is from RNAcentral.
AUGAUGGAGUCGUACGCCGCGUCCCCCAAGGACGGCGGCGGGGGUGGCGCCGAGGGCGGCCGCGCCGAUGCUGCCACCGGCCUGGAAGAGUCGAUGUGGAGGCUGGGGCUGGCCGGCGGAGAGGAGGCCGCCGGGGAGGGGCUGCCGGAACGGCCCGGCGAGGCCAACUGCGUCUACUACCUCCGCACGGGGGCCUGCGGCUACGGGGAGACUUGCCGCUACAACCACCCUCGCGAUCGCGCUGCCGCGUUUGAUGGAGGGACAAGGACCGCACGCACAGUGGAGUAUCCAGAACGCCCAGGUCAGCCACCGUGUGAGUACUACAUGAAGAAUGGGACUUGUAAGUUUGGCUCUAAUUGCAAGUAUAAUCAUCCCAGAGAAGGCGGUUCUGUACAACCAGUUGUCUUAAAUUCCUGUGGUUACCCUCUGCGUCUGGGUGAGAAAGAGUGUUCCUACUAUAUCAAAACUGGCCAUUGCAAAUUUGGAUCAACAUGUAAAUUUCAUCACCCAGAAGGGCCAGAACAUGGUGUUGUUUCAGAGACACCAAACAUGUAUCCACCAGUUCAACAACUGCCUGUCUCUUCCCCUCUUCCAUAUCCACCUCUAGCCAGUUGGCAAUUGGGGAGGCCUUCUGUUCUGCCCGGAUCAUUUUUCCCGGGCUCUUAUCCUCCAAUGAUGCACCCAUCUGCAGUCAUGCCAAUGCAGGGAUGGAACCCUUACAUGCCACCUAUCAACCAAGUCGCGUCAGCUGGGGGACAGCAAACUGUUCAGGCAGGAUCAUUGUAUGGCUUAUCACACCAAGGACCUCCAUCUGCAGUUGCUUAUGGCAGUAAUUAUGCAUCGUUGUCUUCUUCAACAUGGCCUUCAAUUGACAAACAAGAAGUUGUCUUUCCAGAGCGGCCUGGGCAGCCUGAAUGCCACCACUACAUGAAGACAGGGACCUGUAAAUUUGGAUCCACAUGUAAAUACAAUCAUCCUCAGUACCUGAGUACACCUAGGUCCAACUAUAUGCUGAGCCCUCUAGGUCUUCCAAUUCGGCCGGGUGCCCAGCCAUGUCUUUACUAUUCACAGCAUGGGUUUUGCAAAUUCGGUCCCGGAUGCAAAUUUGAUCACCCACUGGGUGCUCUGAGCUACAGUCCUUCAGCAUCAUCGCUUGGUGACGUGCCUAUCGCUCCAUAUCCUCUCAGUCUCCCUGUUGCUCCUAUGGCCCCAUCUCCAUCAUCUUCUGGUCUACGGCCAGAUUACAUUCUGGCCAAGGACUCCUCAGCAAAUCAGCCAGCGUCACCUGGAACUACAUUUGGAAAUGCUGGACAGUUGUCAAAAAUUUAUGCUCCACACAUGCUUCUCCGUCCUCCAACUUCUGCAACCGGUGCCACUGUCACCAUCCAUGGUGGAGAGUUCUGA